This 467-nucleotide unclassified non-coding RNA is filed under the name plant metagenome. Its description in RNAcentral is "partial contains small subunit ribosomal RNA, internal transcribed spacer 1, and 5.8S ribosomal RNA". The record is from RNAcentral.
UUUCCGUAGGUGAACCUGCGGAAGGAUCAUUAACACGUUUUACCAAAAACGUUAUCUCCAAAAAUCAUAAACCAAACCGCGAAUUAACUGUAGGUGCACACAAGUGUGUUAACAUUGAGCCUGAUCUUGGGCCAGAGGAUGAAAAUGUAUUGCAUUUUCUCUGUUCUUCAUUACACCAAACGCAGAGGUGGGUGCUGCGGAUGAGGAACAGAUUCUUUUUUCGAACGAAAGAGUCCGCUGUUGUUGAUGCAUGCACCGAUCGUUUUUUUUUCUUACCCCACAUUUCAUUUUAACGCCAAUCAUUUGCUUGUGCUUUUUGCGCAGGCGUUGAUGUUUAAACUAUUUUCUUUUUCUGGGCUAGCUUCUUUUGGAGCAAGCUCAGUUUUUUGUGAAAGCAAGGUAUUCUUGUCUUUUGCAGAAAAUACUCAAAUGCUGAACAACUCUUAGCAAUGGAUAUCUUGGUUCCC